This is a long non-coding RNA of Mya arenaria, 423 nucleotides long. RefSeq lists it as uncharacterized. The transcript has 3 exons. Lineage: Eukaryota; Metazoa; Mollusca; Bivalvia; Myida; Myidae. The record is from RefSeq and is a predicted model, not a curated record.
CUGAGCGCCUGAUAAGAUUGGGCACAAAAUAUUGAACUGUUAUAUGUGUUACAAUCAAAGGAUCCUUAUCUAGUCGGAUAUAUAUAUAUACAUCUCUGAGUGUCAGAGUAUUAACACACAGGGCAAUGUCAGCCCCGAGACCGAUGUACCCGACAUUGAGCCAUACGAGACCGGGAUGUUGAAGGUGUCUGACAUUCACAUGGUCUACUACGAGCAGUUUGGGAACCCAGAAGGAAAGCCUGUCCUGUUUCUGCUCGAAAACACAACGUGGAACUUGGUGUCAGAUAUUGAAUUACUGCGUCGAAAGCUCGUAAUCGAUCAAUGGGUUGUCUUCGGCGGCAGCUGGGGCUCAACCCUUGGCCUCGUGUACGCCAUACAACACCCUGACCGGGUCAAAGCCCUUAUUCUCAGAGGCAUAUUCAU